CAUACUCAAAAAAUAUUAAUGCUAAUUUAAUUUACUAUAUUCAAAUUUAGUAAUUUUAGAGUAUCCUCCACCAACUAAUUUAACUAAUUUUCUAUAGCAUUUAAAAUUGUUUUUAACUUUUUGGUUUUUUUGGUAGCAGGAAUUGAACCCAGGGGGUCCUAACCACUAAGCCACAUCCCCAGCCCUUUUCAUUUUUUAUCUUGGGACAGGGUCUUGCUAAAUGGCUUAAGACCUUGAAAAUUGCUGUGGCUGCUCUGGAACUUGUGAUCCCCCUUCCUCAACCUCCUGAGUUGCUGGGAUCACAGGUGUGUGCCACUGUAUCCCACUGUUUUUAACUUCUUUAUGUUUUUUUUAUUACCUAUUUUCUUACUAUGUAUUACUGUCCCAACAAUUUCCCUCCUCCAUAUAUUUGAAAUUAUACAAUCAACUCUAAAAACUUAUAAUGAUCUCCAAUAUUCAGUUAAGGUAUAAGUUAAUGGUUGCCUAUAUAAGCUUCUAAUAAAGCAAACCUAAAGCAUAGAAGACUUAUUAGAUUUCACCUGACCCAACCUCUCCAUCAGUAUGUGAAUAUAUGUAUUUAAAUUUAAAUGUUUAAAUUCACCUUUAUUUUAAGUCAGUUUGAUCUCUGGCAAGAAAAAAAAACAAUGAAUACAUUCAUCAUUAUACAUGCAAACUUCAAUAAGAGUUCUCUUUUAAAUCAUUUGGUCUUCCAAUUCUUCUGUAUGUCUAAAUCUGUCAGAUCCAUUUAAAUUUUUACAAUUUUUAUGUUUGAACAAAAUCUUCACUUCUAUUAUCAGAAAGCUAAGCCCAAUCAGUCUUUUCAUACAGAAACAACUCUGCAAAGGCAUAAAUCAGAUAUAAAUAUAUAUGUCUCUCUCUCUCUCUCUCUCUCUCUCUAUAUAUAUAUAUAUAUAUAUAUAUAUAUAUACACACACACACACACAUACAUAUAAACAUAUGUGCAUGUGUGUAUACAUAUAUAUAUUUUCAAAAAAUCAUACUCAUUAAUUAAUAACUACACAAUAGUAAGGAUGUAGUUUAUUUCAUUUGAUUAACCCUCAAUUGUUUAAGAUUUUGGCCAUAUGCAGUUUGCAUAUAUAUAUAUAUAUAUAUAUAUAUAUAUAUAUUUACAUACUGAGAUUGUUCUUUUGGGAUGAGUUUCUGCAAGUCAUGUGUUGGAGCUUGUACACACACACACACACACACACACAAACACAUUUAAUUUGCCUUCAAAAAAGUAUCAUUUUGCAUUUCCAUGGGCAGUAUAUAAAAAUGUCACAUAACUACUCAGGACAACUCUGGUUUUUCUUGUCUGACAGAUAAAAAGAGAUAUUUGACUGCCAUUUGAAUUUUUGAUUAUUGGUAAGGUGGAAAAUGCUUUCAAAUGUUAAAUAGUCAUUUCUUCUUUUGUGUAUUCUCAAAUCAUUUUCUUUGUCUACUUUAAUAUAUGUUUAAUAUAUGUUUGUAGCAUAUACAGUAUUCUUAGUGGUUUGUCCCAUUCUGUAUUCAUCUUUUCUAUUUGUUCACAAUAAU
This 1533-nucleotide long non-coding RNA is filed under the name Marmota monax (woodchuck). The record is from RNAcentral. Lineage: Eukaryota; Metazoa; Chordata; Mammalia; Rodentia; Sciuridae.